GUUGACCUCGGAUCAGGUAGGAAUACCCGCUGAACUUAAGCAUAUCAAUAAGCAGAGGA
Molecule: ribosomal RNA, 59 nt
Filed under: Trichoderma harzianum
Lineage: Eukaryota; Fungi; Ascomycota; Sordariomycetes; Hypocreales; Hypocreaceae
Description: partial 28S ribosomal RNA
Rfam family: Eukaryotic large subunit ribosomal RNA
Source: RNAcentral